UCUAACGAACUAAAUUUUAGGUUUAUAUUUCGGUUAUAAAGUUUGGGAUAAUUUCUCCGUUAGUA
RNAcentral lists this transfer RNA (65 nucleotides) under Lamellodiscus spari. RNAcentral describes it as "tRNA-Arg". Lineage: Eukaryota; Metazoa; Platyhelminthes; Monogenea; Dactylogyridea; Diplectanidae. The record is from RNAcentral.